UCAGAGUCAUAUUCAAGAUGCAGGUUGAUCGCAGGAUCGAAUUGCAUGGUAACAUUCCACUGAAGGAUACUUUUGAUAUUUCUACCAUAAUUUUAUAUCCUUCAGAUAGACAUGAUGUAUUGCUAGACGUCAAUCUUGUCUUAUAAGUUUGAUCAAAUUAAAGAGUUUAAUUCGAUCGUCAAUUAGAAAGGAUUCUAAUUGUUCAAAUUGGGUUAGCUUGAUUGGACCU
RNAcentral lists this long non-coding RNA (229 nucleotides) under Elaeis guineensis (African oil palm). RNAcentral's name for it is "long non-coding RNA (EGUI_LNC062038)". Lineage: Eukaryota; Viridiplantae; Streptophyta; Magnoliopsida; Arecales; Arecaceae. The record is from RNAcentral.